This 465-nucleotide ribosomal RNA is filed under the name Vreelandella stevensii. RNAcentral describes it as "partial 16S ribosomal RNA". It matches the Rfam family "Bacterial small subunit ribosomal RNA", at positions 338 to 795 of the family's 1533-position model. The record is from RNAcentral. Lineage: Bacteria; Pseudomonadati; Pseudomonadota; Gammaproteobacteria; Oceanospirillales; Halomonadaceae.
CCUACGGGUGGCUGCAGUGGGGAAUAUUGGACAAUGGGGGCAACCCUGAUCCAGCCAUGCCGCGUGUGUGAAGAAGGCCCUCGGGUUGUAAAGCACUUUCAGUGAGGAAGAACGCCUGGUGGUUAAUACCCAUCAGGAAAGACAUCACUCACAGAAGAAGCACCGGCUAACUCCGUGCCAGCAGCCGCGGUAAUACGGAGGGUGCGAGCGUUAAUCGGAAUUACUGGGCGUAAAGCGCGCGUAGGUGGCUUGAUAAGCCGGUUGUGAAAGCCCCGGGCUCAACCUGGGAACGGCAUCCGGAACUGUCAAGCUAGAGUGCAGGAGAGGAAGGUAGAAUUCCCGGUGUAGCGGUGAAAUGCGUAGAGAUCGGGAGGAAUACCAGUGGCGAAGGCGGCCUUCUGGACUGACACUGACACUGAGGUGCGAAAGCGUGGGUAGCAAACAGGAUUAGAUACCCUAGUAGUC